Molecule: transfer RNA, 71 nt
Filed under: Bos taurus (domestic cattle)
Lineage: Eukaryota; Metazoa; Chordata; Mammalia; Artiodactyla; Bovidae
Also listed under: 3 other names
Rfam family: tRNA
About the family: Transfer RNA (tRNA) molecules are approximately 80 nucleotides in length. Their secondary structure includes four short double-helical elements and three loops (D, anti-codon, and T loops).
Source: Rfam by way of RNAcentral
UCCCUGAUAGCUUAGUUGGUGAAGAAUCCGCCUGCAAUGCAGGAGACCCUGGUUCAAUUCCUGGUAGGGAA